This 197-nucleotide ribosomal RNA is filed under the name uncultured Gammaproteobacteria bacterium. Its description in RNAcentral is "partial 16S ribosomal RNA". It matches the Rfam family "Bacterial small subunit ribosomal RNA", at positions 338 to 527 of the family's 1533-position model. The record is from RNAcentral. Lineage: Bacteria; Pseudomonadati; Pseudomonadota; Gammaproteobacteria.
CCUACGGGAGGCAGCAGUGGGGAAUAUUGCACAAUGGGCGCAAGCCUGAUGCAGCCAUGCCGCGUGUAUGAAGAAGGCCUUCGGUUGUAAGCACUUUAAGCGAGGAGGAAGGGCUCUUGAUUAAUACUUGAGAGCAUUGACGUUACUCGCAGAAUAAGCACCGGCUAACCUCUGUGCCAGCAGCCGCGGUAGCAACA